UGCGGUUCUUGGGUGAUGCACCCGGAACCAGAGAGGAGGGAGCCUGAUUCUGGGGUGCGUCACCCGAGAACCGCC
Myotis davidii is the source of this 75-nucleotide non-coding RNA. The record is from Rfam. Lineage: Eukaryota; Metazoa; Chordata; Mammalia; Chiroptera; Vespertilionidae.